This 253-nucleotide ribosomal RNA is filed under the name uncultured bacterium. Its description in RNAcentral is "partial 16S ribosomal RNA". It matches the Rfam family "Bacterial small subunit ribosomal RNA", at positions 524 to 776 of the family's 1533-position model. The record is from RNAcentral.
UACGAAGGGGGCUAGCGUUGUUCGGAUUUACUGGGCGUAAAGGGCACGCAGGCGGCCUAUCAAGUCAGAGGUGAAAUCCCAGGGCUCAACCCUGGAACUGCCUUUGAAACUGAUAGGCUAGAGAUCGAGAGAGGUGAGUGGAAUUCCUAGUGUAGAGGUGAAAUUCGUAGAUAUUAGGAGGAACACCAGUGGCGAAGGCGGCUCACUGGACUGGUAUUGACGCUGAGGUGCGAAAGCGUGGGGAGCAAACAGG